This 460-nucleotide ribosomal RNA is filed under the name uncultured bacterium. RNAcentral describes it as "partial 16S ribosomal RNA". It matches the Rfam family "Bacterial small subunit ribosomal RNA", at positions 338 to 795 of the family's 1533-position model. The record is from RNAcentral.
CCUACGGGAGGUAGCAGUGAGGAAUAUUGGUCAAUGGACGAGAGUCUGAACCAGCCAAGUAGCGUGAAGGAUGACUGCCCUAUGGGUUGUAAACUUCUUUUAUAUGGGAGUAAAAUGUUCCACGUGUGGGAUUUUGUAUGUACCAUAUGAAUAAGGAUCGGCUAACUCCGUGCCAGCAGCCGCGGUAAUACUGAGGAUCCGAGCGUUAUCCGGAUUUAUUGGGUGUAAAGGGAGCGUAGGUGGAUUGUUAAGUCAGUUGUGAAAGUUUGGGGCUCAACCGUAAAAUUGCAGUUGAAACUGGCAGUCUUGAGUACAGUAGAGGUAGGCGGAAUUCGUGGUGUAGCGGUGAAAUGCUUAGAUAUCACGAAGAACUCCGAUUGCGAAGGCAGUUCACUGGACUGCAACUGACACUGAGGCUCGAAAGUGUGGGUAUCAAACAGGAUUAGAUACCCUUGUAGUC